UACAGAGGGUGCAAACGUUGCUCGGAAUCAUUGGGCGGAAAGCGCGUGUAGGCGGCUUGGCAAGUCGGUUGUGAAAGCCCGGGGCCCAACCCCGGAAUUGCAUCUGAAACUGCCUCGCUAGAGUCCCGGAGAGGAAGGCAGAAUUCCCGGUGUAGGGGUGAAAUCCGUAGAUAUCGGGAGGAAUACCAGCGGCGAAGGCGGCCUUCUGGACGGUGACUGACGCUGAGACGCGAAAGCGUGGGGAGCAAACAGG
Molecule: ribosomal RNA, 253 nt
Filed under: uncultured bacterium
Lineage: Bacteria
Description: partial 16S ribosomal RNA
Rfam family: Bacterial small subunit ribosomal RNA
Source: RNAcentral